AAGUCGUAACAAGGUUUCCGUAGGUGAACCUGCGGAAGGAUCAUUAACACAUAGUCCAUUUGAUGAUGGUUGAAGUGUAUUCUUUUUUAGAGAAUUUUUUCUCUUUAUUGAUACAUUCUCCAUCAUUCAAACCAAUUAGCAAAUGAGUUGAAGUCCUCAUUAUUAAUUAACUUUAAUAAUUGUGUGGAAUAAAACAAAUGUAAUCACGUUUAAUGAAUUCUUUUUAAAAAAAGAACUUCAUUCGACUAAUGUUUACUCAAAAAAACAAAUAUAACCAAGACAACUUGUAACAGUGGAUACCUUGGUUCCCAG
RNAcentral lists this unclassified non-coding RNA (312 nucleotides) under fungal sp. RNAcentral describes it as "partial internal transcribed spacer region". The stretch from base 1 to 46 matches the Rfam family "Eukaryotic small subunit ribosomal RNA", at positions 1786 to 1831 of the family's 1831-position model. Lineage: Eukaryota; Fungi. The record is from RNAcentral.